UACGUAGGGACCAAGCGUUGUUCGGAUUUACUGGGCGUAAAGGGCGCGUAGGCGGCGAAUCAAGUCAGCUGUGAAAUCUCCGAGCUUAACUCGGAACGGUCAGCUGAUACUGUUUUGCUAGAGUGCAGAAAGGGCAACCGGAAUUCUUGGUGUAGCGGUGAAAUGCGUAGAUAUCUGGAGGAACACCGGUGGCGAAGGCGGCAUCCUGGACCAAUUCUGACGCUGAGGAGCGAAAGCCAGGGGAGCAAACGGG
This 253-nucleotide ribosomal RNA is filed under the name uncultured bacterium. Its description in RNAcentral is "partial 16S ribosomal RNA". It matches the Rfam family "Bacterial small subunit ribosomal RNA", at positions 524 to 776 of the family's 1533-position model. The record is from RNAcentral.